This 1026-nucleotide long non-coding RNA is filed under the name Mytilus galloprovincialis (Mediterranean mussel). The record is from RNAcentral. Lineage: Eukaryota; Metazoa; Mollusca; Bivalvia; Mytilida; Mytilidae.
UUAGGAAAAAAUAGAGCUUAUCAAACUUUAGUAAGACUAAAAAUAGAAAUUCUCAUUCUCUAUGCAAAUGAUCAAACAUUUGAAUAAAUUACCAACUGAAAUUUCAAAUCAAACCUCUACAACCAAAUUUAAGAAUGCACUUGUUAUAAAGUCCUCCUUAAACAUUCUUUUGCCUACACUAAAUGUCCCUAUUGUUUUUAUCUUAAUAUGAAAAGAAAACCAUAAAACAUGUAAACAUUAAAAGUUUUAAAAAAAUUGUAAAAAGUUUAUAAAAUAAAAAAAAAUUGUAAAGUUUAUAAAAUAAAAAAAAAUUGUAAAGUUUAUAAAAUAAAAAAAAAAAAUUGUAAAGUUUGUAAAAUAAAAAAAAAUUGUAAAGUUUAUAAAAUUAAAAAAAAAUUGUAAAGUUUAUAAAAUUAAAACAAAUGUAAAGUUUAUAAAAUAAAAAAAAAUUGUAAAGUUUUAAAUUAAAAAAAAAUGUAAAUAACUUUAACCUUUUUCUCUACCAUAUGGCCUAUCCCACCUAUUCCAAAUACAGUACUGUUGAGUGCCACGCUGAGGCCCAAAGGCUAACGUAAUAAUAAGCAUUACGUCAUAAUGCCAGAGUCCUUGAUUUGGAAAAUGGCCGGCGCCAACCCAAUAUUCCAACAUUGUGGUUUCUGGUUUUGCAACCAGAAGAAGAUGAUAAACAAGAGUUUAAUGUUAACCAGCGUGGACCAAUUAGAAUGCUGAAUAAAAACUGGAAUUUUACAAAUGCUAAUUAUGUUCAUCAUCAUAACUACUUUAUCUGUAUUAUAAGAAAUAAUCUAGCGAAAAAAGAUUUUUCUUCUUUGAAGUCAUGAAAAAUUAUUCUAAAAAGAAUUUCUCAGUUUAUUCAACGUGCCCUAUAAGCAAGCGAGAGCACCUGAUAGCUUUGUAUAUGUUUUAAAUUCUUCCUAUUUUGAAAAUAAAAGAAAAGUGAUGUCUCAUUGUUGUUUUGUUUAGGAAAGUUUAUAUUUAAAAAAAAACAUCAGUCAAUAACUUUAAAUU